CAGAUUUGGCUACAGGCGAAGUGUUGUGGCUAGAGGCAGCUAUUCCAGCAAACUUAUAAUUGGUUACAUGGAUGAACCUCGGACAGCAUGUCACUUCUGUGUUAUGGUGCUCUCUGUGGCUACGCCUCAUGAGUAAUUUUCCAUUGUGUUGGCCUCAUAAGUUGUGUUUUUACAGUAUUGCUAUUUCAAAUUUGCUUCGUGUAGUUCGGCCGCCAGUGAAGAUGUGCGACACAACCUUCUUCAGGGGGCUGGCUGCAUCGGCGGCAGUGGAGGCGCAGGUAUGAAUUAUCAGCCGUGACAUUAAUCGGUGAGUGUAGUCAGCAACAAAAGGGGAGGAUGAUAUGAGGAAGUAUCUUGGUGUUUGAUUCGCUAGAUGCAAGGUUGUCCAUGCAAGCAAAAUACAGAACACAAUCUUAUUUAGUCAUAGAAGCUAUCAUUGCUUAUAGAACAACAGACUAUUGUGUAAAUUGAUUACGGAAUAUAAUUUGAUUUGGUAAUUGAAAAUUUCGAGAAUUGUAUGUGCAAGGGAGGGCCUGCGAGGAUGUUUGUGGAGGGUGAGGCUGACGGAUGGGUCGUGGUACCAGUAGCCGUUCCCCCUCCCUGGACGCUGCUGGUUGGUACUGUCUACUCCGAUGAGGAGAAACUCCGGCUGGUGGCACACGAUUUUUUCCUUAUGCGCUAGAGAGUAUGUGCAAAUUGGAUUCUAUAUGUUCACUACCUACUACUGAUUCUGAAGGUGCAAUCAUUUCAGGUUUAAGCGGCAUGGCAUGUUCACACUGUCCCCUGCUUUAUUAGGAGAUCUCAUGCCAUGUCUUUCUCACUCCAACAUUAUAUAUUUUAGUUAUCUUAUGAUGUAACACUUGAUUUUGGAAAUUCAAACUUAAUAUGUCGUUUUCUCUACCACGUUAGUGAACAAUAUAUCCAGGUUUGCCUGAUAAUGUUAAUGUGUACAUGCAGGAUUCUUAUAUCUAAAAUAUUCUCUGUCAGUACUGGUGGAAAACUUGUGGUAUGUAGAGGUGUAAUCUUUUGGAAUGUAAUUAUCAUGAUUGUUUCCUGCAGAGUUUUUCUCUUUGAUAUAAUAAAUGCAGUACCAUUUUGUUUUGUGGUUUUAAGAGUAAUGUUUAAAGUCUAAUUGCAUUCCUCUUUCAUGAACAAUUCACAAUGACAUCUUCAGGCGCUACUGGGCUUCGGUUAGUUCAAGCUGCAAUUGGGCAAUUAUACAAGUUCACCCUUAUAUAACUCCUUUUGGAUCCGUAUAACCAGAUCAAGUUAAUAUGAUGCUCCUUGCUUCUACUUCUGAAUUUCUUCAUCACCGUUGUAUUUUGUUUUCAUUUUGACCUAUAAAAAAUGAUAUCUUACUAUUUUUGUUGUUGCAAAGUUAGCUGAACCAUAGAUAUAGCCAUUCCCAUAUGGUGCUGAUAGUAUUGUGCUGCAAGUUUGCAUGUUCAUGAAAGAGGAAUUUAGAGCAUCCUAGGAAGGGUUCUUAUAUCCAAAAUAUUCUCUGUCAGUACUGGUGGAAAACUUGAGGUAUGUAGAGGUGUAAUCUUUUGGAAUGUAAUUCUCAUGAUUGUUUCCUGCAGAGUUUUUCUCUUUGAUAUAAUAAAUGCAUUACCAUUUAGUUUUGUAGUUUUAAGAGUAAUGUUUAAAGUGUAAUUGUAUUCCUCUUUCAUGAACAAUUCACAAGGCCUCCUCGAUCCCUCUUGCCCCUCUCGGAAGCGGUGCCCUCCUCCCUCUUGCCCUUCUCUGACGCUCAAGACGGAAAGCCGCUCUACCUUACCCCUGUCGCCGUCCUUCCUUUCUUUCAAAUUCCCGUGCCAGAGAUGCAAAAUCUCCCGUCACCGCCCCUUCUUCAUGCUUAUUGGAUGAUGCCCUGACUGAGUUAGGAUGAACUCAGAUGAUGCAAUUUUUAGCGGAUUCUCUCCUGUGCGCAGUUCCUGUUUUGGUCUGUGAUCUGUAUUCGUUCUCCGUUUCAAUUGAGCGUCCAUCAAUGUCUGCUCAGGUAGGCCUUCUGCUUCUUAUUCCGUUCUUCUUCUUUUCCUGGCACACUUGAGAUUCUUAUAUUCACGAGAAAUUACAUGCGCUUUUGAGUUGGAUUGUUCACCUUUAGAUUCCCACUACACAAUAUACCUUCCUAUGCUAAAAAUUCCUACUUUUAUGCAGGUCAGGAAAGAAAAGAUGCAUGUUGGUCGAGGAUAUGUAAUCCUAGAGCUAUCAAUAGAAAAUUCUGGAAGGCUUGCAUUGCAUAUAUAUGGGAAUACAGGGAGAAGACACGACUAAAUAUAUAUAUAUGAGCUGAACUUUAUUGUUGUAGACCAUGAGCUAUCAUUUUGUUCUUCUAUCAGAAAAGGCCUAUCAAAUAUAUUGAUCUAGCAAAAAAAAUUGAUUUUCUGCAUUACCAGUGUUCCUUUGCAUGUUUUUUCAUAAUUGUCUUGCACAUACGACUCAAGUCUGUUAGGUACAACACUGUUUUAUCUCGGUGUGAUGCACUCUUCCCGUUGAGUGAAAUAUUACAAAUAUUCGCAAAUCUGAGUAAAGAUCUAUUGCUCUUCAGGGUCAAGUGAGAAGACAUGUCGAUUUAGUCAUUCAGAAUACUAUUGAUGAAAUCUUGUUGUUGUACAUUUUCAUUUCUGUAAAUGCACAUGCCUUUAUAUGUGAUUCUGAAAUUGAUGUUCUGUUAUUUCUUACUAGCUCUAAAUUAGCAAAAUAGCCCUUUUGGAUGAUGGAAGAGUUUUAUACCACCCAUCUCGAAACUCUAUACCUAUCGACACUCAUAUAAGAGAAACAGAGGUUUGUCUCCUCCAAACUUUGGUUUAUAGUUCGCCUAACUAAGAAGUUUGAUUGAGGAGUAGACCGGGCACCAAGUAUGGAACAUGUGACUGUUAAUUUAAUGUACCAGUUUUUUCCUGAAUUAGUAAUGCGAUGUGUCUCCCAAAAAAGAAACUUACCAAUCAGAUGCAAAUUAUAGAUAGAAAUAUAUGUUAAUCGGUUAAUCAUCUCGAUUGUAUACCUUACAACUUGCAUUUUCUUUUGCAGAGGAAACAUCAUGUUUGGGCUUCAGGGCAUGCUUAGUAUUUUUUUUCCACAACAGCUUAUUUCAUUAGAAGAUUAGUUGAUGCCAGCCGUCGUUUUAGACAAUAUAUUCAGCUCACUGUUAUCACUGAGAGAGGCUAACUACCGAGAAAGGGUAACUGAGACUAUCGGUGCUCCGAGUUGUUGAGUUCUGGGCGAGUAACUGAAAGUAAUGCCUUGCAGGAAGACCUAAAGAACAGCCAGCGACACAGCGAAAUCUGUUUGAGAUAGGCUUCGUUAUUGUUCACCAAGAGAAAGACCUAAAGAGCAGCCAGCGACGCGGCAAAGUCUGUUUCAGAUAUGCUUUGUUAUGGUUCACCAAGAGGUACCAGCUACACAUUCAGGCACUUAAUCUAGCUAUUUUCACUUAUAGACAAGGUGCAUGUUACUCAUCUUAUUCUCUGUCAAUGUUCACUGAAUUAUCGAAGAACAAUAUGUUACCUAUGC
Lolium rigidum is the source of this 3516-nucleotide long non-coding RNA. RefSeq lists it as uncharacterized. Lineage: Eukaryota; Viridiplantae; Streptophyta; Magnoliopsida; Poales; Poaceae. The transcript is spliced from 3 exons. The record is from RefSeq and is a predicted model, not a curated record.